GGAAGAGCAGUGUCGCGCCAUGGCCAGGGCCCGCAGGCUGGAGCUGGCCGAGGCUCUGGCGCUGGGGCCAGGCUGGAGGCAUGCCUGCUAUGCGCUCCUGCACGCGCCGGACCCUGGAAUUCUCUUUGGCCGCCUCCCUCUGCGCUACGCCAUACUGGUGAGGAGGGGGCGCGCCUGGUCACUCUCCACUGUGGCCCUGCACCCUCCUUGGCGGCGCUACUCUUGGGUGUCCCUGCCAAUCCCAGCUUCCUCCUCUCUCAGAUGCAGAUGCGCUUCGAUGGGCGCCUGGGCUUCCCUGGCGGAUUCGUGGACUCGCAAGACAGCAGCCUGGAGGACGGGCUGAACCGUGGUCUGCUGGAACAGCUGGGCGAGGCGGCGGCCGCCUUCCGCGUGGAGCGCCCUGACUACCGCAGCUCCCACGCCGGAUCAGGGCCACGCGUUGUGGCCCACUUCUAUUCCAAGUCUCUGACGCUCGAGCAGCUGUCGGCUGUGGAGGCCAGCGCAACAGGCGCCAAGGACCACGGGCUGGAGGUGCUGGGCCUGGUGCGAGUGCCCCUGUAUACCCUGCAUGAUGGUGUGGGAGGCCUGCCCAUCUUUCUGGAGAAUUGCUUUAUUGGUGCUGCCCGGGAGCAGUUACUGGAUACCCUCCAGGACUUGGGAGUGGUGGAAGCUGGUGCUUUCUCAGGCCUUCAGAUCCCAGUUCGUCUGAGGCAACCCUCUGUGGACUCAGGGAACCUGAGAUGAGGACUUUGGUACAAGGAAGGGAAUGUUUUCUCUUCUGGAUCUAAAGAUGAUACCAAAUUAAACGAAGACAUGUAUAUCAUAUGUUUUGAGCAGAGGACCUUCCAAAUCAUGGGAUCAGGGGCAAAAAUCCACAGCUCAUCCCAGGGGCCCUGGCAGGUUCUCAGAGCCUACCCCUUCCUUGUACAUUUGCACACAGCCUUGUAACCACCAGGCAUGCAUAUGUACAAUGUGACCACACACAGCCUGACAUCUUUCACCUAUCAAGUCCAAUUUAACCAGGAAUUGGCAUUUGUUACCAUACCCUGCCUCUUGCUUUGCAGAGAGCUUCUACAGCAAGGGUGAGUCCUUCCCACAGUCCUCCAUGGCUGCUCUUUAGGGUCUAGCCCAGCCCAUGUUUUUUGGGAAGGAUAGAGAAGCAGAGGACCCUCUUUGCUUUACUGAAAGUAGCCAUGCCCUUGCUGGAGGGUUCACCACAGCAAUUGGUGGGAGAGGGUCUUAACCGAUCUCCAACACUUUUCUUCUCCUGAAACUGAGAAGGGGUAAGGAAGUAGCUAGGUCCCCUUGGACGGAGCAUAGACGUGAGACCUGUGAGUACUGGUGUCUCUCCUUCAGAGCUUUCAUCUUUGGUUCGCUGUAGACUCUGGGACUAUCAGAAGAGAACUGACCCAUACCUGUCUAGCCCUGCCCUGCCAAAAAAAGAGCCUCCCAUUAAAGAGGAGUUAGAGCUGGGCCUUGAGGCUCUUCACUUCUUUCAACAGAUAUUUAAUACGUACCUACUAAAUGCCAGGUACUAUAAAAGGUAUAGAGAGCCAUCCUUGCUCUCCAAGACUCCAGGGAAGGGAUGGGCAAACAUUUUCUUAAAAGCCAGAUAGCAAAUAUUUUAAGCUUUGUAAACUACAUAGUUUUUAAAAAAAUAUUUUCUAACAUUGACUAAUAAAAAUUGCCUAUGUUUACUGUGUACAAAA
Molecule: small RNA, 1709 nt
Filed under: Pongo abelii (Sumatran orangutan)
Lineage: Eukaryota; Metazoa; Chordata; Mammalia; Primates; Hominidae
Description: retained intron
Source: RNAcentral